This 492-nucleotide ribosomal RNA is filed under the name uncultured bacterium. RNAcentral describes it as "partial 16S ribosomal RNA". It matches the Rfam family "Bacterial small subunit ribosomal RNA", at positions 29 to 507 of the family's 1533-position model. The record is from RNAcentral.
AGUGAACGCUGGCGGUAGGCCUAACACAUGCAAGUCGAACGGCAGCACAGUAAGAGCUUGCUCUUACGGGUGGCGAGUGGCGGACGGGUGAGGAAUACAUCGGAAUCUACUUUUUCGUGGGAGAUAACGUAGGGAAACUUACGCUAAUACCGCAUACGACCUACGGGUGAAAGCAGGGGAUCUUCGGACCUUGCGCGAUUGAAUGAGCCGAUGUCGGAUUAGCUAGUUGGCGGGGUAAAGGCCCACCAAGGCGACGAUCCGUAGCUGGUCUGAGAGGAUGAUCAGCCACACUGGAACUGAGACACGGUCCAGACUCCUACGGGAGGCAGAAGUGGGGAAUAUUGGACAAUGGGCGCAAGCCUGAUCCAGCCAUACCGCGUGGGUGAAGAAGGCCUUCGGGUUGUAAAGCCCUUUUGUUGGGAAAGAAAAGCAGCAGGUUAAUACCCCGCUGUUCUGACGGUACCCAAAGAAUAAGCACCGGCUAACUUCGUG